GUGCUUGUGGUGUAGUGGUUAUCACAUCCGCCUAACACGCGGAAGGUCCCACGUUCGAUCCCUGGCAGGCACA
Molecule: transfer RNA, 73 nt
Filed under: Rhipicephalus microplus (southern cattle tick)
Lineage: Eukaryota; Metazoa; Arthropoda; Arachnida; Ixodida; Ixodidae
Description: tRNA-Val
Rfam family: tRNA
About the family: Transfer RNA (tRNA) molecules are approximately 80 nucleotides in length. Their secondary structure includes four short double-helical elements and three loops (D, anti-codon, and T loops). Further hydrogen bonds mediate the characteristic L-shaped molecular structure. tRNAs have two regions of fundamental functional importance: the anti-codon, which is responsible for specific mRNA codon recognition, and the 3' end, to which the tRNAs corresponding amino acid is attached (by aminoacyl-tRNA synthetases). tRNAs cope with the degeneracy of the genetic code in two manners: having more than one tRNA (with a specific anti-codon) for a particular amino acid; and 'wobble' base-pairing, i.e. permitting non-standard base-pairing at the 3rd anti-codon position.
Source: Rfam by way of RNAcentral